Long non-coding RNA from Stomoxys calcitrans (stable fly), 816 nucleotides. RefSeq lists it as uncharacterized. NCBI's taxonomy places the organism in Eukaryota, Metazoa, Arthropoda, Insecta, Diptera, Muscidae. The transcript has 3 exons. The record is from RefSeq and is a predicted model, not a curated record.
AACAAAUCAGUUAAGAUCUGAGCUUGGUGAAGUGGAAACCAAAUAAAUGAUAGCAGUAGGUUCCGUCAAAUACGGAAAGGAGGAAACUACGCAUUUAUUUUAAGAGUUGAUUAUUGCUUAAAGAAUGUGUUUCAAUAAGAUAUUGAUUUUCGGACAUACAACUUAAUCAUCAACUUUGCUUGUUACCAAAAAAUGAUUUAAUAUCACCAUCUGCUUCGCUUCUUACACCCUCAUAUAACGUCCAAUUUGUUAUGACGUCAUUGUUGACUGUAGAAAAGACUACAACUGACAAUUUAGUGCCGUCUCAAACCACUCCGAUAAACUUGUGAGACUUAAAGUGUACGUACAUCAAUGGGAGUAUAUUUCUGAGCACAUGAAUGACAUGAACACAGGUGGUUGAUAUUUUACAACAAAAAGUUCAUUCAUGAAACUUGAAUCGACCUUGAUCUUGAAACUAAGACCAGCGACCCACAUGCCCAAAUUCGUUUGAAACGUCUCAAAAAGAGUUGCGGAAAUUUUCAUGGACUAUUGGGGUAGUAUACUUACACUGAAUAUGCACUUCAAGUUUUGAUUUAAUUUUUACAUGCAAAAAGCAAGCCUGGUACAUAAGCCUAUGGCGUAAAUAAGAUAUAUACAUAUAUGUAUGUUUAUAGCAGAAGAUAAGUGGGAGUGUGGACUGAUGGCUCCUUUCCACAGAUCUGGCUGAUGAUGGUAAAUAAAAUUGCAGUAAUUUUCUUUAAACAAGUAUCAAAUUUCUUCUCUAGUUUUUUGUAUUUGCUUUACUUUUAAUUAUUCAAUAAAUAUACAUUUAUCUUA